This 598-nucleotide long non-coding RNA is filed under the name Brassica napus (rape). RNAcentral describes it as "long non-coding RNA (BNAP_LNC010192)". The record is from RNAcentral. Lineage: Eukaryota; Viridiplantae; Streptophyta; Magnoliopsida; Brassicales; Brassicaceae.
UUGACGUCGAACGGCCAUUCUAUAACUCAAACUUGAGGUGGUCUGGGUAACCAGACCGGAAUAGAACAACCAAUGAAAAGUAACUCCCUACGAAAGGUCCUGGCAGUCUUAGCUUAAAAAUCCGAAAACUGAUUGCGCACUCGUGGCACAUGGGUGAUUUUGAAGUCCGGGAAACAAAUCUGCAGCGUCUCUAUCUUCUCCAAUUAUGUCGCGAAGCUUGGCCACUUCUGGGGUUCCUUUACCAUUGCAAUCAGCUCCUUGCAGUCUGUUCCAAAGCUCUGGCAUGGCGAGUGUUGAAGCAUAUUCUCCAUCGCCCAGCGUAGUGCUUCCACCUCCGAAUGCAAUGCUGAUUCACAUCGAGUGAAAUUCCGUGUUCCCAUAUGUUGUAUGUUCUCCCCACUAUCCAUCCAGACCCAUCCACAUCCACUAAAGCGAUCAGAAGCUGUCAAAGAUCCAUCCAGUAUGCAAAUAUUAUCCAAGCUUAAGACUUGGUUUUCUUCACUAUUGCUGGCAUGUACUACUGGUGGUAUCAUCUCAUUUGCACUAAACCUGGCUUGACGUUCACUUUCUGCGUAUCGAACUAGUUCCAAAGGGUCUC